ACGAAUAAGGGCUGGGCAAGACCGGUGCCAGCCGCCGCGGUAAUACCGGCAGCCCAAGUGAUGGCCGAUCUUAUUGGGCCUAAAGCGUCCGUAGCUGGCCGCACAAGUCCAUCGGGAAAUCCACCUGCCCAACAGGUGGACGCCCGGUGGAAACUGUGUGGCUUGGGACCGGAAGGCGCGACGGGUACGUCCGGGGUAGGAGUGAAAUCCCGUAAUCCUGGACGGACCGCCGAUGGCGAAAGCACGUCGCGAAAACGGAUCCGACAGUGAGGGACGAAAGCCAGGGUCUCGAACCGGAUUAGAUACCCGGGUAGUCCUGGCCGUAAACAAUGUCUGUUAGGUGUGGCUCCCACUACGAGUGGGUGCUGUGCCGUAGGGAAGCCGCUAAACAGACCGCCUGGGAAGUACGUCCGCAAGGAUGAAACUUAAAGGAAUUGGCGGGGGAGCACUACAACCGGAGGAGCCUGCGGUUUAAUUGGACUCAACGCCGGACAUCUCACCAGCAUCGACUGUAAUAAUGACGACCAGGUUGAUGACCUUGUCCGAGUUUCAGAGAGGAGGUGCAUGGCCGCCGUCAGCUCGUACCGUGAGGCGUCCUGUUAAGUCAGGCAACGAGCGAGACCCGCAUCCCUACUUGCCAGCAGUACUUCACAGUAGCUGGGGACAGUACGGAGACCGCCGUGGCCAACACGGAGGAAGGAACGGGCAACGGUAGGUCAGUAUGCCCCGAAUGUGCUGGGCAACACGCGGGCUACAAUGGUCAGGACAAAGGGUUCCAACUCCGAAAGGAGACGGUAAUCUCAGAAACCUGAUCGUAGUUCGGAUUGUGGGCUGCAACUCGCCCACAUGAAGCUGGAUUCGGUAGUAAUCGCGUGUCACAAGCGCGCGGUGAAUACGUCCCUGCUCCUUGCACACACCGCCCGUCAAAGCACCCGAGUGAGGUCCGGAUGAGGCACGUUCCACGUGUCGAAUCUGGGCUUCGCAAGGGGGCUUAAGUCGUAACAAGGUAGCCGUAGGGGAAUCUGCGGCUG
Molecule: ribosomal RNA, 1031 nt
Filed under: Halorubrum sp. BV1
Lineage: Archaea; Methanobacteriati; Methanobacteriota; Halobacteria; Halobacteriales; Haloferacaceae
Description: bacterial SSU rRNA
Rfam family: Archaeal small subunit ribosomal RNA
Source: RNAcentral